UGCGCGGAAGAUGUAACGGGGCUAAGUAGUAAACCGAAGCUGCGGCAAUGUGCUUUUGCACAUUGGGUAGGGGAGCGUUCUGUAAGCGGUUGAAGGUGUGUGGUAACGCAUGCUGGACGUAUCAGAAGUGCGAAUGCUGACAUGAGUAACGAUAAAGGGGGUGAAAAACCUCCUCGCCGGAAGACCAAGGGUUCCUGUCCAACGUUAAUCGGGGCAGGGUAAGUCGACCCCUAAGGCGAGGCCGAAAGGCGUAGUCGAUGGGAAACGGGUUAAUAUUCCCGUACUUC
This 287-nucleotide ribosomal RNA is filed under the name Vibrio parahaemolyticus. Its description in RNAcentral is "partial 23S ribosomal RNA". It matches the Rfam family "Bacterial large subunit ribosomal RNA", at positions 1160 to 1447 of the family's 2925-position model. Lineage: Bacteria; Pseudomonadati; Pseudomonadota; Gammaproteobacteria; Vibrionales; Vibrionaceae. The record is from RNAcentral.